UCAAUGGACUUAUUAAAGUCUACAUAAUAAAAAAUAAAAACCAAUU
This is a non-coding RNA of Biomphalaria glabrata, 46 nucleotides long. The record is from Rfam. Lineage: Eukaryota; Metazoa; Mollusca; Gastropoda; Planorbidae.